GCUUCCAUAGUUUAACGGAUAGAAUUUUUCGUUGCGGACGAAAAGACCGAGGUUCAAUUCCUCGUGGGGGCG
Molecule: transfer RNA, 72 nt
Filed under: Candidatus Pacearchaeota archaeon RBG_13_33_26
Lineage: Archaea; Nanobdellati
Also listed under: 1 other name
Description: tRNA-Arg
Rfam family: tRNA
About the family: Transfer RNA (tRNA) molecules are approximately 80 nucleotides in length. Their secondary structure includes four short double-helical elements and three loops (D, anti-codon, and T loops).
Source: RNAcentral